GAAAGAAUGGGACUACAAGUACAGCAUUUGAAGACAAACACCUUGACUGUGGACAAUGGAGCUGAACAAUUUAUCAAACGUAGCUGAUUGUUGGCUUCCAUACAAGAACAGCAUCGUCCCAGAACUAAAUCCAAUCAGAAAAUAAAUCCGUUUCAACGAUGCGUGUUUCAAAGAAGGAACAUUACUUUGGAGACCACAGAAGGAUGGCUAAUUAUUACAGAGCACCUGAAACUCACAUCAGGCAACAUUUAUCAUCCAGACAGAUAACUCUGCAGAGGAGUAGGGCACGGAAUUAAAGUGAAGCUGCUUUCAGAAAACAACAACGUUGCUUUGGAAGUUGGGCAGGAAAGGUGUGCUGUUGGUGAUGUCACAGUUACUAGCCAGUAUGCCCCCAUUACAAACUUAACAGAAUCUUCAGAUGAGGAAUUGGCUUUUCAAACAUUAACUGACAACGUUUUACCAAAUAUAUUGCCAUGUUGGUUGGAAAAACAUGCAACCCAAUCCUAUUGACUCAGGCGUCAGUCCCACCACAUUCAACAGGCUUUGCUGUCAGAGAUGCCCUCAAGAAAUUUCCAAUGAGCUCCCAGGAACGCUGAAGAUACGCAGAAGCAACGAGGGAAUAACUUGGACAUAGUAUGAGUGAACUUUUUCACAUGCACUAUGGAAAGUCAAAAGAACGAAUGAGGGAUGUAAUCAGUGUGAUCGUUUUGGGGGGCAGCUUUACAUAUUGUGAAAUAGUCUCGAAAAUAAAUCUUUGGACACUUAAAAAAAUAUUACUGGUAUAAAUGUAACAGAUUGUAUAAUGAGACUGCAUCAACGUGGCCAAUGCGUCAUCAAAAGAUACCCUAUGAACAUUGUAAAUACUAUCAGGUGGAAAGGAAAGGAAAGGUUAAACACAUACAUAGAUGCUUUUUGUUUUCUUUUGGGAUUCCUAUCCGUGUGUGUUCACCGCUAGUCACCUAGAGCACCAUCAAACACCUUAAGAACUACUGGAAUGCCUUCUAUUACUGGGAAGCUACCAGGGAUUGCUGGGUUGUCAAUUAAGUUUUCCCCCUUAAAACAAACCUCCUUUAGGUUGUGCCAAUUGAGGGAAGAAGCUUCUAUUGAGAACUCCAAUGGGAUGAGAAGAAUUUUAAUUACGGCUUAAUCAGCAGCACAGCCACCAAGCAUAAUAAAUUAUCAUGCACAUCGUGCUAAAAAUAUCCAGUUUUCUUUAUUCCCACAACGUUUAUACUGACAGCACUUAAGUGAUAAUGUCAUACCUGCCACUGCCAGGCUAUAAAACCCCUUUCCUUUUUACUGGCAGAUCUCAGCAUCUGAGCCCCUUUCUAAGGCCUUUAACAGCAUUGGUGCUUUGAAUACUUAUCCAAAUAUGUAAAUAUGGUCUACACAAGAAAACAGUUCCAAAUAAAAACUGGUGAGAAUUAUCUGACAUUCCAUUAAUGUGUCCCUUGUGCAUAUUCAUAGAACUUUUUUUUUUUAAAAAGAAAAAAUAAUAAUCAGUCAUAGUUCCUUUCCUGCUUGUCUUGCACAUGCCUAAUUCCAUUAUGUAACUUAAAUCCUCAAAAAAAUUAAUACUUGAAUGUGAAUGAAAAAAGUAUCAUUCAGAACAAUUGCUUCAAGCAAUUGCAAAAAGGUAUACUUUUCUUUUAAAAGUUCAUUUGUAUAUAUGUACAAUUCAUUUUUCCCCAAAUCCCCAAAGUUCUUGAUAUGUAUAUUCACAUAAUAUUCCUCCAUAUUUAAAUAGUAAGAGUCUUGUAGGUUGAAAGCCAAGUCAAGUCUUCUGUAAUUAUAACCCACUGUAAUCCACCAAAAAAUAAAAGUUUGUUUCAUCUUGUCUGGCUAUA
Hemicordylus capensis (graceful crag lizard) is the source of this 1847-nucleotide long non-coding RNA. RefSeq lists it as uncharacterized. Lineage: Eukaryota; Metazoa; Chordata; Lepidosauria; Squamata; Cordylidae. The transcript is spliced from 6 exons. The record is from RefSeq and is a predicted model, not a curated record.